Molecule: ribosomal RNA, 493 nt
Filed under: uncultured bacterium
Lineage: Bacteria
Description: partial 16S ribosomal RNA
Rfam family: Bacterial small subunit ribosomal RNA
Source: RNAcentral
ACGCACGCUGGCGGCGUGCUUAACACAUGCAAGUCGAACGGUGAAGCGCCUUCCUUUUUGGUGGGUGUGGAUGAGUGGCGAACGGGUGAGUAACACGUGAGUAACCUGCCCCCUUCUUCUGGAUAACCGCAUGAAAGUGAGGCUAAUACGGGAUAUUCUGGGUCUGUCGCAUGAUGGGUCUGGGAAAGAUAUUGUUUCGGUGGGGGAUGGGCUCGCGGCCUAUCAGCUUGUUGGUGGGGUGAUGGCCUACCAAGGCGGUGACGGGUAGCCGGCCUGAGAGGGUGGACGGUCGCACUGGGACUGAGACACGGCCCAGACUCCUACGGGAGGCAGCAGUGGGGAAUAUUGCACAAUGGGCGCAAGCCUGAUGCAGCGACGCCGCGUGAGGGAUGGAGGCCUUCGGGUUGUGAACCUCUUUCGCCAGUGAAGCAGGCCUGCCUCGUUUGUGGGUGGGUUGACGGUAGCUGGAUAAGAAGCGCCGGCUAACUACGUG